GUGCUUAUAGCUCAGCAGGAUAGAGCGUCCGCCUCCUAAGCGGAAGGUCGUGGGUUCGAAUCCCGCUAAGCACG
This 74-nucleotide transfer RNA is filed under the name Herbinix hemicellulosilytica. It matches the Rfam family "tRNA". Rfam says of the family: Transfer RNA (tRNA) molecules are approximately 80 nucleotides in length. Their secondary structure includes four short double-helical elements and three loops (D, anti-codon, and T loops). Further hydrogen bonds mediate the characteristic L-shaped molecular structure. tRNAs have two regions of fundamental functional importance: the anti-codon, which is responsible for specific mRNA codon recognition, and the 3' end, to which the tRNAs corresponding amino acid is attached (by aminoacyl-tRNA synthetases). tRNAs cope with the degeneracy of the genetic code in two manners: having more than one tRNA (with a specific anti-codon) for a particular amino acid; and 'wobble' base-pairing, i.e. permitting non-standard base-pairing at the 3rd anti-codon position. The record is from Rfam by way of RNAcentral. Lineage: Bacteria; Bacillati; Bacillota; Clostridia; Lachnospirales; Lachnospiraceae.